Long non-coding RNA from Populus nigra (black poplar), 2507 nucleotides. RefSeq lists it as uncharacterized. Lineage: Eukaryota; Viridiplantae; Streptophyta; Magnoliopsida; Malpighiales; Salicaceae. The record is from RefSeq and is a predicted model, not a curated record. The transcript is spliced from 14 exons.
UAUAAUAAUACGGGUGUUAGAUUCAUGGGGAUCCCAUUAGUACUCGAGGAACAAGAAAGAAAACUAUCCGUUAACAGCCUAGAAAUAUCAAAUCGACAUCACAAUCCUUUUCCCUGCAGGAAAAUAGUAACGUUAAAAAACAACCCGUCUGUUACACUUCCACUUCAUUGAUUUUGAUUUACAGUACACGAAAUAAUUCCUUGAUCUUUCAAGUUCCUCUUUUCUUUGCCUGUUAAAUUCUGUAACAACACUGGAGUUCCACGGUGGAGACAAAGUAGAAGUAUGUAGCGAAGAGGAAGGAUUUCUUGGAUCAUAUUAUGCAGCGACAACGGUCAAGAACUUAGUGGAAGAGGAAGACAUGUCAAAGCAUCUGAUAGAGACACACCGCAAGCCCAGCGCUAAAACACACCGCUGGAGCACUCUGCUCAACGGCCUUAACCUGCGCACCCACCCAACACCUAAACCAUUAACUCGCCCGCUCGCCCGCUCAAACCCAGUCCUCCUCAUCUUCUUCUUCUUCAAGCCAAACCCCUUUCUAGUCGAUGGAGUGACAAUUUCUAAGAAAACUCCGCUAAUGGUGCUGCUCUUUAAUCUCUUUGAUAGAAGGCGGAUGAUUCUGUAAUUUCAGGAUGUAUAUAAAGCAGGCAUUUAACCUGCUUGCUUAGUUCUCUUCAUUGUGCAACCAACAAUAGGCAGGAGAACCAAAAUCAUAUCGGAUCUGCUGAUAUCUGUUUCAAAAGAAUAGAGACAAGCCAGGAUUAAAGUUCACCAAGAUUCCUUAAGACUUGGUAGUGUGGGUGUUAUCGGGUAUUUUCCACCAGCAUGCUUUGAGCUCAGCAAGACCCCUUUAAUAUCAUUGAAGACGCCCUUUUGGGCAUGACCAAACUCAAGAACGAAUACUACGCGAAGACACAAUUAUAAAAGCUUGCAGGGUUGAAUUCCCUACGAAGCCUAUUAUCUCAAAUGAGGCGAAGUUGGAGAUAACAGACCUGACAAGAAUAUUUUUUUUCAUUUAGCCAUUCGUUUUGUAUUGAGUGAUCUCUUCCACAACCUAUGCAAUUAUGACAAGCAUUAACUACUCGAUGGAGGUGCAGGACAUCAAGUUUUAUCUGCUUUCAUUGAUAUUGUGUUGAUAAUUCUGACAAUGGCAUCUCGGUGAUCGUUGUUUUUCCUUAAAAGUUGUUUUUUAAGCAUCUUUUCUGGAAGUGCUUAAUUGGUUGAAUGUGCUUUUGGUUUGUAAAGGUGCAAUACUUUACAAUCUUUCAUUCCUGUAUAUUUAUGGCUACAACAACUCUCUUAAAUGGUAAUUGAUUCUUCUGUACCCUAAUGACGAUCAUGAUGGAAAAGACGUUGAAGAACUCAAGCUUUCUGUGGCAAAAGAUCACAUCCAGACUGUCGAUGGCUGCUAAUUUGAGGGGUUAUGUACUGACCAAUAGUGAUGGGGAAAGGUAAAAUGGAUGGAAGCUUUAACUUACUGUGAGACACCUAUUGCAUAAGCUUUUCUCUUAGCAUAAAUAGUGAUUAAGUAAGGAAGAAAGUCGUUAUGACGGGGGGGCUUUUAUGAUUAUCGAUGCUCAAAGUUGAAGUUUAUGAACAUAAUUAUGUAGAACAAAUCACAUUGAGGUAAGAAAUCUCAUGAUUGUGCAGUUUCCAUCACAGACUAAAAUGAGAAAACAGAGAGCUAGAGACUAAUUUCACAACUAAUCUGAAAUAACAAAAACAAAAUUUGGAAGCCCUAAUAUCCUUUGCUAAAUCUGAGAUGUUACAUGGUUCUUAAUUGUAGGGGAAGGAACUAAAUGAUGUUAACUCAUUGGCUGAAGUCAUAACACUAACUCUAAAGUGUGCUUUGAGUUGUUUUUAGAAACUUGAUUUUAAUAUUUCACUAUAAAAAUAUUUUUUUGACUAGCUGUUCUUCCAGGUGUUUCUGAGAGGAUGGAUAGACUCAAUGCUGAAGUCACAACACAACUCUGAACUGUGAAUAUGCUUUAUUGUUUCUUUAUGUGAUAAAUGACUAGUCUAAGCUUCAGUUUUUUGUUCUUGUCUUUUAAUGUAUUAUUAAACUAUUAUGGCUUGUAAUCAAUGUUUUAAAUUAAUUUAUCCUGUCUGAUUUUCCAGCCGUUAUCCUUGCUGAAAUCCUAGAAGAUGAUGUUUUGGUCUUCCCCCACAUGUAUAAGAGGAGUUUGAAAGAGUUGCAUAAAAUGCUUCAUUGGUGCAAUGAGCAUUUCAACAGUUCAGCCAUGUAAACAAGGAGGCACUAGAUCAACAUGUAAAUCUCACUAGGAAACAGGAGGAACUUCAGACACGGCAAGCUGAACUUGAGGCAAGUGACAAGGUACUACGGUACUGGAUUUUAAUGGUUAAAUGUCUUCUGUUGUACUUAUUGUUUUUAAUGUGAGAUUAUGAUUUAUGUAUCUUUACUUCAACGAUAAACAUAAGCCAUAAAAAAAUAGACUGAGCUUGAGCCUGAUGUGAAAGACGUGCUAGAGAGAAUUUCAGAACAUAUCCAA